AUGAGCCGUGCUCGUGCGUUCCUAUACAUGGUGAUCAACCACCACAGGCCCCCCAAACCCCGAUGCCACCGCCGCUUCUGUGGCGAGCAGCAAAAGGACUGCGUGUACUCGUUGCACCGCAUCGACCCGUCGACUCUCUUCCACGGCGAGGAUGAACCGCAGGCGACGGCGCCGGUGAAGACUUGCCUGCCUCCCAGCAUCACUACCUUCGACAAUCCCGCUAGGGGCUUCGCUCCCAGGGCGACAGAGUUCAUGCUCUUCGGCCGGGGCAGGGACAAGAUCCUCGCUGUCCCGCGUACAGAACCUCAGGACCAUAUGCCCGUCCUCUACGACGAUGCCUCGCAGACCACGCGCAAACUGCCCAGCACGAGAGAGGAGAAACUUAGCCCCCUCUGGCUCGCCAUCCAUGACGAUCUGUAUAUCAUGGAGAAGGCUCCACCCAAAUCGGGUGACAAGGUGUUGUCGUUCAAGUACUCCGUGGAGGCGCUGGUCCAGGCAAGACACUCGCUGGACUGGGCAUGGCACCUCCUCCCCCCACCCCCAUACGAGCCGUCGCGCGACAUUUUCAUUAAUGAUGUCCCCAACACCGCUGCGGUGGUCGGCGACUCAAACAUCUGGGUCUCCUCCAAGGGCCAGGGCACCUUCUCCCUGGGCACGGAGACGCGGGCGUGGAGCAAGGUUGCCGACUCGGAGCUCCCGUUCCAGGGACAGGUCCACUAUGCCCCACAGCACGGCCUUUGGUACGGCUUCUCGGCCAGGGAUGAAGGUGUUCUCUGUGCAGCCGAUCUGGGCAGCCUCGCCUCCACGGGCCAGCAGCCGCCGCCGCCUCUGGCUAGCCAUGAGCUGGACAUGGGCAUCAUGGCGCCCGAGGGGCGCAGCGAGCUAGGAGGUUACUCAUGCCUCGUGCACCUUGGUGGUGGCCGCUUCUCUGUCGCCAAAUACUACUCCAAUGUGGCCAUGCUCAUCGGCGUGGAAGUCGAGCGCUGCGGCGAGGUUCUCCGCUUGAUCAAGCAUAAAUCAUGCAUUUACCCCUUACGUGGGAACUCCUUUGAAUGCCUGCUCUAG
RNAcentral lists this ribosomal RNA (1065 nucleotides) under Triticum aestivum (bread wheat). Its description in RNAcentral is "partial small subunit ribosomal RNA". The record is from RNAcentral. Lineage: Eukaryota; Viridiplantae; Streptophyta; Magnoliopsida; Poales; Poaceae.